GCCCAAAUAUAAUUUUUUUAGGUGCUACCUGCUCAGUGGUCCUUAAUUGAUAUAGGGUAAUUCCUAUAAAUGGGAUUAAACAGCCGCCCUAGUUAAGGUGAUAAUUAAGCAUAAUCUGAUACCGUUUAAUUGGCGGAGUGUUGAAUGGUGUAACGAGUGCGAAGCUGUCUUAGUUGGAGAAUCUAUGAAGUUGAAAUACUAGUUAAGAUGCUAGUUAAAAUUGUAAGACGAGAAGACCCUAUAGAGCUUUACUCUAUUCUUUUUUGAAAUCUGAAGUACGAAGUAUUACUAUUUUGUAAUUAGUAUUGUUGAGAUAGUUAGAAAGAGUGGGAGUUUAAGUGGGGCGCUUACCUAUUAUUAAAAACAUAGGUUAACAAUAUGAACACCAGUUCAUUUACUGUGUAAAUUAUGUUUUUACCAGUUACAACAGUAGGUGAAAUGACCCGUUAAGUGCUUACAAAAGCUUUAACGACAGAAGAUAAAAGUUACCUUAGGGAUAACAGGGUAAUUCUGGACGGGAGGAACACAUCUAUUCCGGAGUUUGCCACCUCGAUGUUGAAUUAAGACAUCCUGGAGGGCGUAGAGGCUCCCAAGGGUAGGACUGUUCGUCCUUUAAAUGUCUU
This 623-nucleotide ribosomal RNA is filed under the name Kephyes ovata. RNAcentral's name for it is "partial 16S ribosomal RNA". It matches the Rfam family "Bacterial large subunit ribosomal RNA", at positions 1831 to 2597 of the family's 2925-position model. Lineage: Eukaryota; Metazoa; Cnidaria; Hydrozoa; Siphonophorae; Clausophyidae. The record is from RNAcentral.